UAGGGUAAUUGCGCUGGUUUGCCGUCCAGCUUCUGUUUUCGUCCAUUUGACUGACCUGCUACAAUCACGUGCGUAAAACUUGAAUACAAACCUACCUUCCCGCGCAAGUUUGCACUUUUUACGGUCCAUAAUGUUUAAGCAACAGUACUAUCAACAUGAAAAUUUGAUUUGACUAGAAGAGAGUUCAAAAAAUUAACGUAAAAGUGGCCGCUUCGCAUCCGUACCUUGCAGAUGUCAUCGCGCGAGAGAAAAAUUUGCCGGCGAGAAAAGUUCAUGAUGGCCUCGAAGGAGUCUAAGAAAUCUAGAAAAAAAAAAGACGCUGCGUACACUGAAGAUUCUGUAGCUAAAACUUAUUAUUAUGGCUGUGUGUGUAUAGUACGUUUCAUUUGAUAAAGAAAGUAUUAGAAUGAAAAUUUUUGUUGUUAGAAUGAAUAUUUCUGUUUUUUGAUGUUAUUUCUUAGUCCUGUAAUUAUUACUUGUUUCAUUUAAAUUGUAAGGAACGCAUUCCUUUCUUUAUUACGAAUGAUUAUACAGUCAUCACUAACGCCUAUAAGGACUGCCAAGUGCUACAUAGAUCUCAGUGUUGACUAGUUAUAUUGAUUAUUAUUAGUAAAACCACAAGUAAAACUAAACCUGUAAGGUAGUGAGAAAUUGUAAUGUUAAUUAAAUAAACGUAUAUAUUUACCUGUAA
Colias croceus (clouded yellow) is the source of this 691-nucleotide long non-coding RNA. RefSeq lists it as uncharacterized. The record is from RefSeq and is a predicted model, not a curated record. NCBI's taxonomy places the organism in Eukaryota, Metazoa, Arthropoda, Insecta, Lepidoptera, Pieridae. The transcript is spliced from 2 exons.